AUAUCAAAGGCCCCUGCCUACCCUCCUGCCUUAUGGUACUGUGAGAUCAUUCUGCCCACACAAUGUGAAAUCUGGCAUCCCAAAAUGUGGCUUUUACAGAAAUGAGGAACGUUUCUCAGGCCAAAAACCCAAGAGUCGUUUGAUUCCUGUCUUUCACCUACAGAGCAACGUUAUGAAUCUUCCUUCAAGGCGCAUCUGGAUCAUCAGAUCCUUUAGCACUUGCACUGCCACCUUUCUCCACCCAAAGCCAGAGUCCUGCCAAUGGCCUACAAGGCCCAUGUGGAGAAUGUAGGCUUCAAAAGAGCAAGAGCUAAUUGGCCAUCCCAGGAAGAGAAAGUUCUUUAAGGGAAUUCCAGAAAGCUGACAAAUGCCCCUUCACUGCCUUUCAGGUGCUUACCACAAAACUGGUAAGUCCUGCAGAGACAGAUGAGGAGGCUGCCAUUUCACAGAAGCCGGUGAUUACACUGUGUGUUUAUGAGACUCCCCAGGGACCAGGGUGGCAAGUGAAUGCACACAGGCAUGAGUUUGUUUGUGUUUAUGUGCUUUUCCAUAAACUGGCUCUAUAUACACAUCAGUCUCUCUCCCUUUAUCAGAUUCUUUUCUCCUUUCUCCUUGUCUGACUUUUUCCUUUUGAUUUGUAUCCUCUCUGACCC
Canis lupus familiaris (dog) is the source of this 653-nucleotide long non-coding RNA. RefSeq lists it as uncharacterized. The record is from RefSeq and is a predicted model, not a curated record. The transcript has 3 exons. NCBI's taxonomy places the organism in Eukaryota, Metazoa, Chordata, Mammalia, Carnivora, Canidae.